Molecule: ribosomal RNA, 490 nt
Filed under: uncultured bacterium
Lineage: Bacteria
Description: partial 16S ribosomal RNA
Rfam family: Bacterial small subunit ribosomal RNA
Source: RNAcentral
AUUGAACGCUGGCGGCAGGCCUAACACAUGCAAGUCGAACGGUAACAGGAAGAAGCUUGCUUCUUUGCUGACGAGUGGCGGACGGGUGAGUAAUGUCUGGGAAACUGCCUGAUGGAGGGGGAUAACUACUGGAAACGGUAUCUAAUACCGCAUAAUGUCGCAAGACCAAAGAGGGGGACCUUCGGGCCUCUUGCCAUCGGAUGUGCCCAGAUGGGAUUAGCUAGUAGGUGGGGUAACGGCUCACCUAGGCGACGAUCCCUAGCUGGUCUGAGAGGAUGACCAGGCACACUGUAACUGAGACACGGUCCAGACUCCUACGGGAGGCAGCAGUGGGGAAUAUUGCACAAUGGGCGCAAGCCUGAUGCAGCUAUGCCGCGUGUAUGAAGAAGGCCUUCGGGUUGUAAAGUACUUUCAGCGGGGAGGAAGGGAGUAAAGUUAAUACCUUUGCUCAUUGACGUUACCCGCAGAAGAAGCACCGGCUAACUCCGUG